CACGCCCUAAACGAUGCGAACUGGACGUUGGGCUCAAUUAGGAGCUCAGUGUCGAAGCUAACGCGUUAAGUUCGCCGCCUGGGGAGUACGGUCGCAAGACUGAAACUCAAAGGAAUUGACGGGGGCCCGCACAAGCGGUGGAGUAUGUGGUUUAAUUCGAUGCAACGCGCAGAACCUUACCUGGUCUUGACAUCCACGGAAUCCUUUAGAGAUAGAGGAGUGCCUUCGGGAACCGUGAGACAGGUGC
Molecule: ribosomal RNA, 247 nt
Filed under: uncultured Arenimonas sp.
Lineage: Bacteria; Pseudomonadati; Pseudomonadota; Gammaproteobacteria; Lysobacterales; Lysobacteraceae
Description: partial 16S ribosomal RNA
Rfam family: Bacterial small subunit ribosomal RNA
Source: RNAcentral